UGGUAUUCUCACUCAUUGGCUUCUCUA
RNAcentral lists this non-coding RNA (27 nucleotides) under Rattus norvegicus (Norway rat). Lineage: Eukaryota; Metazoa; Chordata; Mammalia; Rodentia; Muridae. The record is from RNAcentral.